UAUAUUAAAUAAGUUUUAAUUAUCUUUAUAUUACUUUAACUCAACCUUCUAUUUAAUCCUUUACAAGGGAUUAAUAUUAGUAAAUGAAUAUUGCAAAUGUAAUGAUUAUUUAUUUAAUUACCCAACUAACAUUUAAAAUAACUCGUAUAAAAAAAAUAAUAAAAAAUUAUAACAUAUUAUGCAGUCUUAAAUGAAACAAAAAUUUUAGGGUCAAGCUUGGAAAAAUGCCCUAGGAUUUAUAGGAUCCCAUAGAUACGCGGAUAAUACUCCAACGCAAUGUUAUAACCGUAUUAGAAUUUGUAGUUUGCAUUUUAAUGAUGACAGUUUUACAAAUUCCUCGAAAACCCGAAUGCAUCAUUCGUAUGCUAUCUCAUCGAUUGGAGUACCUACCCAAAAAGACGAUGCACAUUUUCCUAAAGCCAGUGUUGAUGCCAUUGUUCAGAAAGAACAGUUCAAAGUAAAUGAGCCAAAGCAGCCGUUACUAAAAGUUGCAGGAAUCCAAACGUCGAUAACUCGAAUAUUAUUGCUGAAUAAGGACUCAAAAGGACGCAGGUAUACCAAUGAAUUUAAACAGUUUGCUCUAAGUGUGUUUUUCCUGGGUACAAAAGCUUACAAAAAAAUGUCCACAGUUUAUCCUCUACCAUCAAGAUCUACAUUAAACCGUUUUACGCAACAAUGGGUAAUAAAUCCAGGUUUUAACGAGUUUGUUUUUAAAGUAAUUGAAUGUAGAGUAAAAAUACAUCUGCACCUGUUAUUCAUUUAAAAGAUAUUUUAUUUAAAACUGUCCGAAGGAUACGCAAAACCGGUUUAAAUAUUUUUGGGGUUGUAUCAGACCAGGGUACUAAUUUUCAAAAACUAGCUAAAAGUUCUUAAAAGGUUUUUGCGUUAGGAUAUUUAGAUAAUGUCGAAACAGCUAAUAGUAUAGAUGAUGGCGCUAAAGCCCUAUUAAAUGUAAAUCCCGAUUUUAUUAAUAGUUGCAAUAAUAUAUAAUUGCAUUCUCCCACUAAAUAUAUUCCUCUUCGAGUUUUUACCAACGAAUAUGUACAUUUAAAAAGCGCAGAAGGAAAUGCUUUAGUAUAUGUAGCAUAUUUAUUUAAAAAAUGUCUCUCACGUCACUCUUGUGAUAUAUGCAAUAAUUUUGCAACUUCCCAAAAUGCCCUGUUUAAUGAAGAGUUAUUUUAUUGUAAAUUAAAAGCAUAUGAAAAUAAUACCCUAUUUAGUGGUCUAACCAUACCUCCAAAAGACAUUAUUGAGUACAUAAUAAAAUUAGAAAGUAUUUUUAUCGCUGAAUUUAAUAAAUUAUCAGCGCAAGAAGCAAUUGGCUAUAAUCUUAAAAAACUGUUUUCUAACAUGACCUUUAAGCAUUCCUGUAAUUAAUUUCCCAUUGACUAUUUUUUAAGUUUAUA
RNAcentral lists this long non-coding RNA (1406 nucleotides) under Anthonomus grandis grandis. RNAcentral describes it as "uncharacterized LOC126739946". Lineage: Eukaryota; Metazoa; Arthropoda; Insecta; Coleoptera; Curculionidae. The record is from RNAcentral.